GCAGUCGAGGGGCAGCAUUACUUUUCGGAGUAGAUGGCGACCGGCGCACGGGUGCGAUAACGCGUAUGCAACCUACCCUUAACUGUAGGAUAGCCCGGAGAAAUCCGGAUUAAUACUACAUGGUACUAUAGUAUGGCAUCAUAUAAUAGUUAAAGAUUUAUUGGUUUAGGAUGGGCAUGCGUGACAUUAGCUAGUUGGUACGGUAACGGCGUACCAAGGCGACGAUGUCUAGGGGUUCUGAGAGGAAGAUCCCCCACACUGGUACUGAGACACGGACCAGACUCCUACGGGAGGCAGCAGUGAGGAAUAUUGGUCAAUGGGCGAGAGCCUGAACCAGCCAUGCCGCGUGCAGGAAGACGGCCUUCUGGGUUGUAAACUGCUUUUAUACGGGAGCAAAAAGGUCCUGCGGGACAAAUUGAGAGUAUCGUAUGAAUAAGCACCGGCUAACUCCGUGCCAGCAGCCGCGGUAAUACGGAGGGUGCAAGCGUUGUCCGGAUUUAUUGGGUUUAAAGGGUGCGUAGGCGGCGUAAUAAGUCAGUGGUGAAAGCCGGCAGCUCAACUGUCGAGGUGCCAUUGAAACUGUUAUGCUUGAGUACAGACGAGGUAGGCGGAAUUUAUGAUGUAGCGGUGAAAUGCAUAGAUAUCAUAAAGAACACCGAUAGCGAAGGCAGCUUACUAGGCUGUAACUGACGCUGAGGCACGAAAGCGUGGGGAGCGAACAGGAUUAGAUACCCUGGUAGUCCACGCUGUAAACGAUGAUGACUCGAUGUUGGCGAUAUUACAGUCAGCGGUCCUAACCGAAAGC
RNAcentral lists this ribosomal RNA (805 nucleotides) under uncultured Sphingobacteriia bacterium. RNAcentral's name for it is "bacterial SSU rRNA". It matches the Rfam family "Bacterial small subunit ribosomal RNA", at positions 57 to 858 of the family's 1533-position model. The record is from RNAcentral. Lineage: Bacteria; Pseudomonadati; Bacteroidota; Sphingobacteriia.